This 441-nucleotide ribosomal RNA is filed under the name uncultured bacterium. RNAcentral's name for it is "partial 16S ribosomal RNA". It matches the Rfam family "Bacterial small subunit ribosomal RNA", at positions 338 to 795 of the family's 1533-position model. The record is from RNAcentral.
CCUACGGGAGGCAGCAGUGGGGGAUAUUGCACAAUGGGGGAAACCCUGAUGCAGCGACGCCGCGUGGGUGAAGACGUAUUUCGGGAUGUAAAGCCCUAUCAGCAGGGAAGUAAGAAGACGGUACCUGACUAAGAAGCCCCGGCUAACUACGUGCCAGCAGCCGCGGUAAUACGUAGGGGGCGCGCGUUAUCCGGAUUCACUGGGUGUAAAGGGAGCGUAGACGGCCGUGCAAGCCAGGAGUGAAAGCCCGGGGCCCAACCCCGGGACUGCACGUGGAACUGUGCGGCUGGAGUGCGGGAGGGGCAGGCGGAAUUCCUGGUGUAGCGGUGAAAUGCGUAGAUAUCAGGAGGAACACCGACGGCGAAGGCGGCCUGCUGGACCGCGACUGACGUUGAGGCUCGAAAGCGUGGGGAGCGAACAGGAUUAGAUACCCCUGUAGUC